RNAcentral lists this ribosomal RNA (496 nucleotides) under uncultured bacterium. RNAcentral's name for it is "partial 16S ribosomal RNA". It matches the Rfam family "Bacterial small subunit ribosomal RNA", at positions 28 to 506 of the family's 1533-position model. The record is from RNAcentral.
GAUGAACGCUGGCGGCGUGCCUAAUACAUGCAAGUCGAGCGAACAGACGAGGAGCUUGCUCCUCUGACGUUAGCGGCGGACGGGUGAGUAACACGUGGAUAACCUACCUAUAAGACUGGGAUAACUUCGGGAAACCGGAGCUAAUACCGGAUAAUAUAUUGAACCGCAUGGUUCAAUAGUGAAAGACGGUUUUGCUGUCACUUAUAGAUGGAUCCGCGCCGCAUUAGCUAGUUGGUAAGGUAACGGCUUACCAAGGCAACGAUGCGUAGCCGACCUGAGAGGGUGAUCGGCCACACUGAAACUGAGACACGGUCCAGACUCCUACGGGAGGCAGCAGUAGGGAAUCUUCCGCAAUGGGCGAAAGCCUGACGGAGCAACGCCGCGUGAGUGAUGAAGGUCUUCGGAUCGUAAAACUCUGUUAUUAGGGAAGAACAAAUGUGUAAGUAACUAUGCACGUCUUGACGGUACCUAAUCAGAAAGCCACGGCUAACUACGU